GAUGAACGCUGGCGGCGUGCCUAAUACAUGCAAGUCGAGCGAACAGACGAGGAGCUUGCUCCUCUGAUGUUAGCGGCGGACGGGUGAGUAACACGUGGAUAACCUACCUAUAAGACUGGGAUAACUUCGGGAAACCGGAGCUAAUACCGGAUAACAUGUUGAACCGCAUGGUUCAACAGUGAAAGAAGGUCUUGCUGUCACUUAUAGAUGGAUCCGCGCCGCAUUAGCUAGUUGGUAAGGUAACGGCUUACCAAGGCAACGAUGCGUAGCCGACCUGAGAGGGUGAUCGGCCACACUGGAACUGAGACACGGUCCAGACUCCUACGGGAGGCAGCAGUAGGGAAUCUUCCGCAAUGGGCGAAAGCCUGACGGAGCAACGCCGCGUGAGUGAAGAAGGUCUUCGGAUCGUAAAACUCUGUUAUUAGGGAAGAACAAAUGUGUAAGUAACUAUGCACGUCUUGACGGUACCUAAUCAGAAAGCCACGGCUAACUACGUG
Molecule: ribosomal RNA, 497 nt
Filed under: uncultured bacterium
Lineage: Bacteria
Description: partial 16S ribosomal RNA
Rfam family: Bacterial small subunit ribosomal RNA
Source: RNAcentral